Molecule: long non-coding RNA, 396 nt
Filed under: Phasianus colchicus (ring-necked pheasant)
Lineage: Eukaryota; Metazoa; Chordata; Aves; Galliformes; Phasianidae
Description: lncRNA (ENSPCLG00000013432.1)
Source: RNAcentral
UAGAAACGUUACCUGAAGAACUUCCACAGAGCUUUGAUCUGUCAUGUUACUCCUUUGCAGCUGUCUUAGGGAUGCAACUGCAUUGUAAACACCACUAUCACUUAAGUUCAAACAGAAUCUCAGGACUACCCAAGAUAACAUUGGGUGAUAAUAAAACACCUUACUCAAACAGAGACAUUUUGCAUUAUCUUGAUUUGACGCUCUGCAGUGCAUCUGGAUGGGCAGUAAAUAGCCCUUUGGGAAUUUGGGAAGUAACUACAGGAAAGUACUGGAAAGUAAAGUAAGACUGGAGAAUACCCUAUAAGGACAUGGUGGUCAGAGGUAUUUCUUUGAGAGCUGCUGCCACUGUAGUACCAGUAACUGCAUCAUCAUGUGCUGCCUGGAGUCAUCCAAAAU